This 496-nucleotide ribosomal RNA is filed under the name uncultured bacterium. Its description in RNAcentral is "partial 16S ribosomal RNA". It matches the Rfam family "Bacterial small subunit ribosomal RNA", at positions 28 to 506 of the family's 1533-position model. The record is from RNAcentral.
GAUGAACGCUGGCGGCGUGCCUAAUACAUGCAAGUCGAGCGAACAGACGAGGAGCUUGCUCCUCUGACGUUAGCGGCGGACGGGUGAGUAACACGUGGAUAACCUACCUAUAGGACUGGGAUAACUUCGGGAAACCGGAGCUAAUACCGGAUAAUAUAUUGAACCGCAUGGUUCAAUAGUGAAAGACGGUUUUGCUGUCACUUAUAGAUGGAUCCGCGCCGCAUUAGUUAGUUGGUAAGGUAACGGCUUACCAAGGCGACGAUGCGUAGCCGACCUGAGAGGGGGAUCGGCCACUCUGGAGCUGAGAGGCGGUCCAGGCUCCGACGGGAGGCAGCAGUAGGGAAUCUACCGCAAAGGGCGAAAGCCUGAGGGAGGGGCGGAGGGUGGGUGAUGAAGGGCUGCGGGUCGGAAAACGCUGUUAUUAGGGAAGAACAAAUGUGUAAGUAACGAUGCACGUCUUGACGGUACCUAAUCAGAAAGCCACGGCUAACUACGG